UCCAACGAACGUUUUAACCACUUUCCCCUCCACUUCCUUCCUUUCCCGGGGCGCUGAGCUCCGAGGCCGGCCACCGUGCAGGAAAGCAUUACCGCGGAAGCUGGGAGCUGUAGCUUCGCCAAAAGGCCCCGCUUUUGCCCUGGGGCAAACUUGUUAAGAUUGGGAGCUCCUCCGCCAGGGUCAUCUGUCCAAGGGCGCUGUGAAAGCCUCCUGGGAUGUUCAUCUAGCCACGGUCUAAUUAAUUUUCAAACGGACAAAACAGCUUCUUGGGCCGCGUAACAAGCAUUUUCAUUCAUCUGCGCGAGGCUGGAUUUGGCUCCGAGCAGGGUCACGAGGAACCCUAAUGGCUGCUUCCCUCCUUUGUGUGUCCCCAGGAGAGCUUGUGUUGAUGUCAACAAAGCAGGAUCUGUGCUUCAGGCGAUUGGAGUGGGUUCGGCUUCCAGAGAGCCAAGUUCUUUGACUUCGCUGAGAAGGAAAGGGGGGAUUUGUGCCAGUUGGGAAAUAGACUUUUUCUUUCCCCUGAGAGGGAGUGCCCAGACCUCGGAAACUGCCCCUCCUGGCCACAAGCCCCUCAGGAAGGGUCAGCAGGGUGGCCUGACCCUAGGAGCACAACCCACGGAACAUGACACGUUCCUUGCAGUGCUGCCGCAGGGCAGUCUGGCCCUGGCAUUUGUUACAAGAAGUCCCCAAGCUGCUGGCUGGUGCCCUUGCAGCCAACAAAGGACCACGGAAUGCACCUGUGUCCUGCCUUCCAGGAGCCCCUCCUUGGUGGCAGCCUUACCAGCAGAGGCUGUCUCGCCCCUUGUUUUGCCCUGUAAGACGGGCUCUCCUCUGCACUGAGUAAAGGAAGAGGGAGAAGAACGUCCAUGCCUAAGUGCGCUUGAAGACCCAGUCUUUGUUGGUGUGUCUUGCACGUGGCUUUGUCUCUGAUGUGUCCACAGCUAGAGCAGCACCUGUCUGACCCUGCUACACACAUCGGCGGACUGCCUACGCCGUGCCAAGCUCUCCCCAGCCCCUGCCAGGCAGUGACAUCAUUUGCCCUCUGUUCAGGUACAGACGGGGAAUCCAGAGAGUCCAUAAAUAGUAGUCAUUUACCCUUAACAAUGCUUCCUGAGAUAAUAGACCUGCUUUUCACAGUUUGGAGAGAAACGGUUCCUCAUUUGUAAUGUCACCAAGACCAGAUCCUUGGGCAGGACGUCAGAGAUGGCUGAGCAGAUGCCGUGCGGUUCCUCUCCCAGCUCCAGAGCCUCUGGGAUCAGCGAGGCAUCGGGGUUUCCAAGACAAGAGCACAUUAACGGACAUUGUUGUACAGGAGGGUUUUCUCUGCCUGGCGAAAUCCGUGCCUCUUUUUUAAGUUUGCAGAAUUUGAAACACGUGCAUACAACAGGAUGGUGCAGUGAGGUGCGCUGACGGUAUUGCUUCUCCCUCCCAUUGCGUAUCUUUGUUCAGGAGUCAACGAAAAGGGAUAUUCUCAAAACUCUAGCACAAACAAAGGCAGCACUCAGUGCCCAAUAUAAACAUAUUUCUGUUUAGCAAAGAGCAGGAGUAUCGAGGCCCUCCGCUUUUCUCUUCUCACACAGCAGCAUGUUCUGUGCUGACGGUAUGAGUUAACAAAUUCGAGUCUGUUUAUUUUGUUGGAAAUUCCACUUCAUGAAUCACCGCGUUCCACAGAACAGCAGAAGGACAGCAUGGCCAUUGUUUGACUCACAGUGGUCCCAGCCCCAGGAGCCCGUCCCGACGUCCGCUUGCCGUCAGCGGGCCCUGUCUGCUUUCAUCUUUCCAAGGCCUCCCUUCUAAUAGCAUUCAAAUUAUUUAGACACUCAACCAUGUUUUUGCCUCCGGUGCAGACACUUCUAAAGAGCGCGAGCCCCAGUGUGACCAAAUAACCCUCCACUAUUUAUCUUCUCACAAGUCAUUAUUCCGGAGGCUCUGAGGAGCGGCUCCCAGCAUGUGCACCGCAGGCCGCCAGAGCUCCUCCUGCAGAAACCAGCCGGCCCAUGGGCCUGCUCUGCUCCCGUCUCUCUGGCAGGUACACAAUGCCACGGUUCAGGCAGAGGGGAGGCGGGGCAGCGUGGUUUAGCCAUGAUUCCCCGAGUUCCUAGAGUAAGGAGCAUGUGGGCCCCCAAAUCAAUUGUGAUUAUUAAUGAUCUCCAUCCCUUUCAGUAAUUGCAAGGAAACUGUAGGCACUCGGAAAGAAAUUAAAAUGUGAACAGUCACUCUCCAGUUUCAUCUUCUGCUCAGAAUUACCUUUUUUUUUUUUUUUUUUUAAAUCCCCUCUGCCUCUGUUAAUGAUGUGCCUCCUGGUGGUGAGUGAUUGUGUGAACCACCAGGGACACAGAAAAUGAAGACACAGGAUUCUUGCCCCCGUGGAACGAGGGUCUGACGGGAGACGUGGCGGUUGAGAUGUUUCCAGCAUUC
RNAcentral lists this long non-coding RNA (2418 nucleotides) under Ictidomys tridecemlineatus (thirteen-lined ground squirrel). Its description in RNAcentral is "lncRNA (ENSSTOG00000029684.1)". Lineage: Eukaryota; Metazoa; Chordata; Mammalia; Rodentia; Sciuridae. The record is from RNAcentral.